AGGAUGAACGCUGGCGGCGUGCUUAACACAUGCAAGUCACGGGGGCCCAGCAAUGGGUAACCGGCGAACGGGUGCGUAACACGUGAGCAACCUACCGAAAUGAGGAGAUAGCCGGCCCAACGGCCGGGUAAUACCGCAUACGCUCGAGACCAGGCAUUUGGACUCGAGGAAACCUCAGGGCAUUCGAGGGGCUCGCGGCCUAUCAGCUAGUUGGUGAGGUAACGCUACACGAAGGCGACGACGGGUAGCUGGUCUGAGGAGGACUCGGCCACGGCCACGUAGUUGGGACUGAGACUACGGCCAGACUCGUAACGGGAGCGACGUAGAGGUAGGGAACUUGUCGGCGAC
This 348-nucleotide ribosomal RNA is filed under the name uncultured soil bacterium. Its description in RNAcentral is "bacterial SSU rRNA". It matches the Rfam family "Bacterial small subunit ribosomal RNA", at positions 26 to 372 of the family's 1533-position model. The record is from RNAcentral.